Pelobates cultripes (western spadefoot toad) is the source of this 97-nucleotide non-coding RNA. NCBI's taxonomy places the organism in Eukaryota, Metazoa, Chordata, Amphibia, Anura, Pelobatidae. The record is from the annotation of a GenBank genome assembly.
CCAGUCCUCAUGGACCACCAACAGUUCAGGUUUUGUCAGUAUCUCCAUUUGACUAAAAAUACGUAAAUCCUGGAUUGUUGGUGGUCCAUGAGGACUG